GAUGAACGCUAGCGGCAGGCUUAAUACAUGCAAGUCGAGGGGCAGCAGGACUGUAGCACUACAGUUGCUGGCGACCGGAAAACGUGUGCGGAACACGUACGCAACCUACUCAACACUGGGGGAUAGCCCGGGGAAACCCGGAUUAAUACCUCGUAACCUUUUUAAGUAUCAUCACUUGAUAAGUAUAGCUCCGGCGGUUUUGGAUGGGCGUGCGCCUGAUUAGGUGGUUGGUGCGGGUAACGGCCCACCAAGCCUGCGAUCAGUAACUGGUGUGAGAGCACGACCAGUGAGAGGGGCACCGGGACACGGGCCCGACACCUACGGGAGGCAGCAGUAAGGAAUAUUGGUCAAUGGACGCAAGUCUGAACCAGCCAUGCCGCGUGAAGGAUGAAGGUGCUCUGGAUUGUAAACUUCUUUUAUGAGGGACGAAACCCGGAGAUUCUUAUCCGAUUGACGGUACCUCAGGAAGAAGCACCGGCUAACUCCGUG
RNAcentral lists this ribosomal RNA (489 nucleotides) under uncultured bacterium. RNAcentral's name for it is "partial 16S ribosomal RNA". It matches the Rfam family "Bacterial small subunit ribosomal RNA", at positions 28 to 507 of the family's 1533-position model. The record is from RNAcentral.